GGGGAUCAUCGAGAAGCUAAGAUGUUACCCGGUAGAAUCUUCCUAAAAUGAAAAUGAGCCUCAUAUCGAUACCUUGCCUAGCCAUGAGUAAAGCUCUGUAAGUCAGCAUUGAGGAGAAAUAA
RNAcentral lists this small nucleolar RNA (122 nucleotides) under Genlisea aurea. RNAcentral's name for it is "Small nucleolar RNA snoR104". It matches the Rfam family "Small nucleolar RNA snoR104". Lineage: Eukaryota; Viridiplantae; Streptophyta; Magnoliopsida; Lamiales; Lentibulariaceae. The record is from Rfam by way of RNAcentral.